CGCAACUGUCGGAGCUUCUGCUGCCAUCAGAGCUACUAUUGAACUAUUGAUUUGGUUCCAAUUCCUCCAUUUUUGAGACCGUGAGAUUUAAUCCUUGCUCUGCUUCUAUCCUAUUCCUAUGUCUUUCACCUGUUCUAACUAAGGAAACCUAUGUUUUUGUUCAGUGUUGCUACUCUAUUUUCCCUGUUUACUGUUAGAACUAUCAUAGGGGAUACUGUUAAUGCCAUCAGGAAACUGUUAGAGCUGCUGUUGUUGCUGAUGCGAGUUAGAACGAAAUUGGAGUCACGUUUAAUUUUGUGGGUUUCGACUAACUGAGUGCCACAGGUUUG
Molecule: non-coding RNA, 329 nt
Organism: Arachis ipaensis
Lineage: Eukaryota; Viridiplantae; Streptophyta; Magnoliopsida; Fabales; Fabaceae
Source: RefSeq, a predicted model, not a curated record